GAAUUUUGCGCAAUGGGCGAAACCCUGACGCAGCAACGCCGCGUGAGUGAUGAAGGCUUUCGGGUCGUAAAGCUCUGUCAAGUGAGAAGAACCUAUCUCGCGCUAAUACCGCGAGAUACUGACGGUAUCACUGAAGGAAGCACCGGCUAACUCCGUGCCAGCAGCCGCGGUAAUACGGGGGGUGCAAGCGUUAUUCGGAAUUAUUGGGCGUAAAGGGCGCGCAGGCGGCCUCUUAAGUCAGAUGUGAAAGCCCGGGGCUUAACCCCGGAGGUGCAUUUGAAACUAAGGGGCUUGAGUAUGGGAGAGGGAAGUGGAAUUCCUGGUGUAGCGGUGAAAUGCGUAGAUAUCAGGAGGAACACCGGUGGCGAAGGCGACUUCCUGGACCAAUACUGACGCUGAGGCGCGAAGGCGUGGGGAGCAAACAGGAUUAGAUACCCUGGUAGUCCACGCAGUAAACGGUGAACACUAGGUGUAGCGGGUAUUGACCCCUGCUGUGCCGCAGCUAACGCAUUAAGUGUUCCACCUGGGGAGUACCGACGCAAGAUUAAAACUCAAAGGAAUUGACG
This 566-nucleotide ribosomal RNA is filed under the name uncultured bacterium. RNAcentral describes it as "bacterial SSU rRNA". It matches the Rfam family "Bacterial small subunit ribosomal RNA", at positions 359 to 915 of the family's 1533-position model. The record is from RNAcentral.